AACGAACGCUGGCGGCAUGCCUAACACAUGCAAGUCGAACGAGCCCUUCCGGUCUUGUGGCGCACGCGUGCGUAACGCGUGGGAACCUGCCCUUAGGUUCUGAAUAUCUCCCCGAAAGGGUUGCUAUUAUCGGAUAAUGUCUUCUGACCAAAGAUUUAUCGCCUUUGGAUGGGCCCGCGUUGGAUUAGCUCGUUGGUAGGGUAAAAGCCUACCAAGGCGACGAUCUAUAGCUGGUCUGAGAGGAUGAUCAGCCACACUGGGACUGAGACACGGCCCAGACUCCUACGGGAGGCAGCAGUGGGGAAUAUUGGACAAUGGGCGAAAGCCUGAUCCAGCAAUGCCGCGUGAGUGAUGAAGGCCUUAGGGUUGUAAAGCUCUUUUAUCCGGGAUGAUAAUGACGGUACCGGGAGAAUAAGCCCCGGCUAACUCCGUG
RNAcentral lists this ribosomal RNA (433 nucleotides) under uncultured bacterium. RNAcentral describes it as "partial 16S ribosomal RNA". It matches the Rfam family "Bacterial small subunit ribosomal RNA", at positions 29 to 507 of the family's 1533-position model. The record is from RNAcentral.